GUUCCUAUGGUGUUAUUUUUGCAGCACAUUAGAUUUUCAUUCUAAAGGUAUAAAUUUAUUUAUUGGGAAUA
This 71-nucleotide transfer RNA is filed under the name Erronea onyx. Its description in RNAcentral is "tRNA-Glu". It matches the Rfam family "tRNA". From Rfam's summary of the family: Transfer RNA (tRNA) molecules are approximately 80 nucleotides in length. Their secondary structure includes four short double-helical elements and three loops (D, anti-codon, and T loops). The record is from RNAcentral. Lineage: Eukaryota; Metazoa; Mollusca; Gastropoda; Littorinimorpha; Cypraeidae.